RNAcentral lists this ribosomal RNA (418 nucleotides) under uncultured bacterium. RNAcentral's name for it is "partial 16S ribosomal RNA". The record is from RNAcentral.
CGAUUCCGACUUCAUGGAGUCGAGUUGCAGACUCCAAUCCGGACUACGAUAGGCUUUUUGAGAUUAGCAUCACAUCGCUGUGUAGCAACCCUCUGUACCUACCAUUGUAGCACGUGUGUAGCCCUGGUCGUAAGGGCCAUGAUGACUUGACGUCGUCCCCGCCUUCCUCCAGUUUGUCACUGGCAGUAUCCUUAAAGUUCCCGGCUUAACCCGCUGGCAAAUAAGGAAAAGGGUUGCGCUCGUUGCGGGACUUAACCCAACAUCUCACGACACGAGCUGACGACAGCCAUGCAGCACCUGUAUGUGAAUUCCCGAAGGCACUCCCGCAUCUCUGCAGGAUUCUCACUAUGUCAAGACCAGGUAAGGUUCUUCGCGUUCCCCCCGUGCCCCCGCCCCGCCCGGGGCGCGCCCCGGGCGG